Molecule: non-coding RNA, 265 nt
Organism: Cinara cedri
Lineage: Eukaryota; Metazoa; Arthropoda; Insecta; Hemiptera; Aphididae
Source: the annotation of a GenBank genome assembly
AUCUGGUCUGGUCAUCACCCGAGAGCCGAUUUAUCUUUAUUCUAUGGAUUGGAUAAAAAUUGUAUACAUUAUAUUACAACGCUGGGUAGGUAUCUCAUUCGUCAUCAACUGCUGUGUACAAUUCAAGACGAUAUUAUAAUCGUUUUGUAUACCUAUCUACACAAAUAUAGGAGUUGGAUAAUACGUAUUACGUUGUUAAAUUUUCAUUAUCCACUGUGUAAAAUCCAAAUCAAAGUAAGUAUAAACAGGUAUACGUAUACCAGGG